Molecule: ribosomal RNA, 229 nt
Filed under: uncultured bacterium
Lineage: Bacteria
Description: partial 16S ribosomal RNA
Rfam family: Bacterial small subunit ribosomal RNA
Source: RNAcentral
CACGUAGGCGGCCCGUUAAGUCAGAUGUGAAACCCCUGGGCUCAACCUGGGACUGGCAUUUGAUACUGGCGAGCUCGAGUCCGAUAGAGGGGGGUGGAAUUCCAGGUGUAGCGGUGAAAUGCGUAGAUAUCUGGAGGAACACCGGUGGCGAAGGCGGCCCCCUGGAUCGACACUGACGCUGAGGUACGAAAGCAUGGGGAGCAAACAGGAUUAGAUACCCUGGUAGUCC